RNAcentral lists this small nuclear RNA (312 nucleotides) under Vulpes vulpes (red fox). Its description in RNAcentral is "7SK RNA (ENSVVUG00000018615.1)". It matches the Rfam family "7SK RNA". From Rfam's summary of the family: 7SK was discovered as an abundant small nuclear RNA in the mid-70s but a possible function has only recently been suggested. Two independent studies have found that 7SK RNA binds the CDK9/cyclin T complex (known as elongation factor P-TEFb). Lineage: Eukaryota; Metazoa; Chordata; Mammalia; Carnivora; Canidae. The record is from RNAcentral.
AGAAAAAGGGCUGUAAGGGUGCAGCAUCUGUUACCCCUCUAGUCGCUAGGGUUCAUCUGGCUGGUCUGGCUGACUAGGCGAGUAUCCCCUUCCUCCCUCACUGCUCUAUGUGUGUUCCUCCUAAAGCAGUGCACUGGUCAAAGAGGACGACCUUCCCCAAUGGAGGACCAUUCUUCGGUCAAGGUAGCUGCGCUCCCCUACUAGAACCUCCAAACAAGCUCUCAAGGUCCAGUUGUAGGAGGACACAGGGUAGUCAAGCUUCCAAGGCUCUGGACACAUCCAAAUGAGGGGCUGUACAUGGCAUGAAUUUUU